RNAcentral lists this microRNA precursor (205 nucleotides) under Leersia perrieri. RNAcentral's name for it is "MIR812 microRNA precursor family". It matches the Rfam family "MIR812 microRNA precursor family". Lineage: Eukaryota; Viridiplantae; Streptophyta; Magnoliopsida; Poales; Poaceae. The record is from Rfam by way of RNAcentral.
AAUGUUUGAAACCAUUGACUUUUGAGUGAAUGUUUGAUCAUUCGUCUUAUUUAAAAAUUUUAUCCAAAUAUUAUUUAUUUUGUUACAAAUUGUUUUAUUACCAACAAAAUUUUAAGCAUGAUUUAUAUUUAUCAAUAUUUAGAUUAAUUUUUUGAAUAAGACGAAUGGUUAAACACGUGCUAAAAAGUCAACGGUGUCAAAUAUU